Magallana angulata is the source of this 571-nucleotide long non-coding RNA. RefSeq lists it as uncharacterized. The transcript is spliced from 2 exons. NCBI's taxonomy places the organism in Eukaryota, Metazoa, Mollusca, Bivalvia, Ostreida, Ostreidae. The record is from RefSeq and is a predicted model, not a curated record.
UAAGUUGUGCAUUUUUCGGUGUACACAAGCAUUUUCAAGUUACUGUGAAACAUAUGAACAUGCACAGGGAACAAUACUACAUAUUUGUGUAAGGAGGGAUAUAUUCUCGUGUGAAUCGUUUACGAGGAAAUUCUGACAGCCACACUUCUGUCGACCAUGUCGACGGAUGUUUAUGUUUCCAUUGAUCAGCCGUUGAUAAGCUACGAGUAAUAAAGUGGAAAAGAUGGACAUUAAAGUGUGUGAUCUAUGUGGAUGUUACUGAAGAAGCUCAAAACGGACUCUUGUUCCGACAUGGCACCACAUUGCUUUUACCUGUUGAUUCUUGUGGGUCAGCUCUUGAGAUUAACCUGUCACCUCUAUCCACAUGCAUAUUCCUUGUGUUCUACAGACUUUUUACCGGUAAUUCAAAUUAAAUCGGAUAAUGCAUGAACAAUAAUGGAACUUUAUGAAAGCAUCAUCCCAUGUUGUGGUUUGUGUUUGAUAAGAAAUUAUGAAAAACAAAAUUAAGGCUAUUUAAAGAAAUUCAUAAUUGUUGUGAAAAUUUGUUUUUCAAUAAAAGUAUGCAAUUAUG